UUAUACAGCCAUACCAUCUUGAAAAUUGCCAUCUCGUCACAUCUCAGAAGCUCAGCAGGCUCAGGCCUGGUUUGUACUGGGAUGGGAGACUGCUGGGAAUACCAGGUGCCACAGU
RNAcentral lists this ribosomal RNA (115 nucleotides) under Periophthalmus magnuspinnatus. Lineage: Eukaryota; Metazoa; Chordata; Actinopteri; Gobiiformes; Gobiidae. The record is from RNAcentral.